Molecule: RNA transcript, 7654 nt
Organism: Gadus morhua (Atlantic cod)
Lineage: Eukaryota; Metazoa; Chordata; Actinopteri; Gadiformes; Gadidae
Exons: 2
Source: RefSeq, a predicted model, not a curated record
UCUUGGAUUUUGUGUGACUGCACCCUCACUUGCCCAGACCUGUUGCCCUUAUGUUGCGUCCUACUCCGAGCCACCAGGGGGGGCGUAACAUAAAUUGGGGGCUCGUCCGGGAUCCUUGAUCCUUUUAAGCAACGGGUUUGAUGAGUGUUGGUGUGCAGUGCACACGUCAAGUAGGCUGGUAGUGUUGGUUAGGUUGGUAAAGUUUUGGGUAAGGCUAUUUGAGGAAAAAUGAGUGUGUUUAACCUUGAGGGAUUUCUUAGUGAUCCUUCUGUGGAUCAGAUUGAUCGCUGCAGGAAAAAAGAUUUGUAUGCCAUUGCGGCACAUUUUUCAUUUGAAGCAUCAGCAGGUCUGCUUAAAGCUGAAUUGAAAGAAGCUGUUGUACAGAUGUUAGUACACGAAAAAGUGUUUGGUACUGGCAGCGGUGCGACUGCUAGUGAGCCUACUAUUUCCCCAUCCUUGUCUUCUAGCUCAGAGAAGGAGAGCAGGGAGGAAGUAGUAGUUGAGAGAGGGCUGGUUGAGAGUAGGCCAGUUCCUGUAGAUACAGACGCUAAUGUGGAGUUUAAGCCUCCUCAUACUGUGCCCCGAUUCUCUCCAUUUUCCUUACCUAGGGUAAGUGAUGAUGCCCGCCAUAGGCUACGCAUAGCGCGUUUGCAACUGGAGGCUCAGGAAAAAGAUAGAGACGCAGAAUACAGUCACAAGUUGGCUAUUCGGAAGAUGGAGCUAGAGAUGGAGGCGGACACCGCCAACCGCAAAAUUGAAUUGGAGAUAGCUGCAGAAAAAGAGGUGAAGCUUAAGCGCCUAGAAUUGGAAGCUGCUUCUCUGAGUUUAGCUCAAUCACCUGGUCAUAGGUCCAUACAUUCUGGUCCCUCUGCGCCUACGAGAGGUUUUGAGGUGAGCAGAAAUGUUGUUUUGGUGCCUCAAUUUCGUGAGGCGGAAGUAGAUGCCUAUUUUACUGCGUUUGAGCGAGUUGCCACCUCACUGAAAUGGCCAAAAGAGGUCUGGUCGAUACUGCUUCAGUGUAAGCUGACAGGUAAGGCCCAGGAAAUUUAUGCUGCACUUUCUCUAGAAGAGAGUUUAUGCUAUGAGAGUAUUAAGACAGCUGUGCUUCGUGCCUACGAACUAGUGCCUGAGGCCUAUAGACAGAAAUUUAGAACUUUUAAAAAAAUGUCUGAUAAAACCUUUGUUGAGUUCGCCCGUGAGAAGGAGACUUUGUUUAAUCGAUGGUGCAAGGCAAGCAACGCGGUAGAUUUUAACACUCUGUCACAAUUGGUUCUCAUUGAAGAGUUUAAGAAUAGUCUGCCUGAUCGUAUUGUGACGUAUCUCAAUGAGCAAAAGGUAGGGACAUUAGCGGAGGCUGCUGUGCUUGCCGAUGAGUUUGUUUUAUCGCACAAACAAACUUUUGUGAGUCCCCGUUAUGAGAGUAGGUCUUUUACUCCUGCUGCCUCGGCUAGAAGGCCGUCUAGUCCUCCACGUCCAUUGCCACUCCGCUCCACUGAGGAACGAGAGUGUUUCUAUUGUCACCAAACAGGUCACGUAAAGAAUGACUGUUUUAUGUUGAAACGCAAGCUGUCACAGCCAAGCAAACGACCAAAAGAGGUUUUGUUAGUGCGAACGUUGGUGGGUCCAGUGUCCCUAGCCCCGGAGAUGGAGGGUGACAAUCUGGAACCCUGUUAUAAACCGUUCAUGUUGGACGGGUUGGUUUCUCUCAGCGCAAAUGCGUUGAACCAGUGUCCAGUGCGUAUCCUUAGAGAUACUGGUGCAGCACAGUCUUUUAUCUUAUCGGAGGUGUUACCUUUUAGUAAUGACUCGUUAAGUGGCUCUAGUGUGCUUGUGCAAGGCAUUGAAAUGGGGUUUGUGUCUGUGCCUCUCCAUGAGAUACAUUUGUCCUGUGACUUAGCAAAUGGAGUGUUUAAAGUGGGUGUGCGCCCGUCUUUGCCUGUUAGAGGCGUCACAUUUCUACUAGGGAAUGACAUCGCUGGUGGCAAAGUGAUGCCAGUUUUAGAAGUUCUAGAACGACCUGAGAUUUUGCAGCCUGAUGUGUUGGCUCAGGACUUCCCUGAAGUGUUCCCUGUGUGUGUGGUCACUCGUGCUCAAGCACGUAGUUUGGGUGAAGCAGUUGUUUUGUCGGAUACUCUCUUCGCGACUGAGUUGACCGGCCAGACUGUUUCUCCACCUGUGUUUCCGCAGUCUACUGCUGAGCCGAGUGUCCAGCCUAAGGUUCAAUGUGAUACUUCCACCAAAGAGACAACUAGGUUGCCUAUGAUUAGAAGUAAUCUGAUUGCUGCUCAGAAAGACGACGUGACUUUGGUGAAGUGUUUUGAUGCGGCUCUUGCUCCAGAGAGCGCUAAAAAUAAAGAAAGUGAUUAUUUUGUUGAAAAUGAUCUCUUGAUGCGGAGAUGGAAAUCUCGCGCUGAGUUUAAUAAUGACUGGACUAAUGUCUUUCAAAUUGUUGUGCCUACACCGUACCGACAGUCCGUUCUAUCUCUGGCUCAUGAACAUCUCUGGUCUGGUCAUCUAGGUAUUACAAAAACCUAUGACCGAGUGUUGCGACAGUUCUUCUGGCCAGGUUUGAAGCGAGAUGUGUCGUUGUUUUGCCGUACAUGCCAUGUAUGUCAGGUCACGGGGAAGCCUAACCAGGUUAUAAAGCCUGCGCCUCUUCACCCGGUCCCAGCUAUAGGGGAACCGUUUGAGCAUGUACUUGUGGAUUGUGUUGGCCCUCUGCCAAAAACGAAAUCCGGUAACCAGUUCCUGUUGACCAUAAUGUGUGUAGCUACCCGGUACCCUGAGGCGAUCCCUCUUAGGAGCAUAACAGCUCAGUCAGUAGUAAAGGCCCUGAUCAAGUUCUUUUCUACUUUCGGGCUCCCUAAGAUCGUGCAAACCGAUCAAGGUACCAACUUCCUUUCGGGUAUUUUUGAACAGGUUUUAACAUCACUGUCUAUAUCACACAGAAUCUCGAGUGCUUAUCACCCGGAGUCACAGGGCGCGCUCGAAAGAUGGCAUCAGACUUUUAAGUCAGUGUUGCGGAAAUAUACCAUGGAGAGUGGUAGGGAGUGGGAUGAAGGAGUCCCUUUGGCUUUAUUUGCAGUUAGGGAAAUAGUGCAAGAGUCACUAGGAUUUAGUCCAGCAGAGCUGGUAUUUGGUCACACAGUGAGAGGCCCUUUAAGAAUGUUGAGAGACCAGCUAACUGGCGAGAGUUCGCCCACCCAGCGAAACGUUCUGACCUACGUGAGUCGCUUCAGAGAACGACUGCACGAGGCUUGCAGUAUCGCUAGGGAAAGUCUCUCUGUUGCACAACAGGGUAUGAAGCGGCAUUUCGAUAAGAAAGCACUUCCGCGGUCUUUUCAAGCAGGUGACUUGGUUUUAGUGUUGCUGCCCAUUCCAGGUAGUUCAAUGAGUGCACGAUUUUCAGGACCGUACACUAUUGACAGGAGUUUGAGUGAGACUGAUUAUGUAGUGAGAACCCCUGAUAGAAGGCGGAAAACCAGAGUGUGUCACAUUAACAUGUUGAAGAAGUACUACACUAGAGGCGACGCUCAGCUUGAGACACGCAGUGCGCCUCUUGUAGCCACUGUUGCGGCUGCGGUGUCAGUAGCUGUGAGCCCUACGGCAGUGAGUGAUGAGGAUGGCCUGAGUUUGCGCAAUGCCCAGCAACAGACCCCUCGGUUGACAAACUCAGAAAUGUUGUUAAAACUACCGUCUUUAAUGCAUCAUUUAAGCAGGGAACAGGAAGCUGACCUACUCUGCCUUAUCUCUGAGUUCCCCUGUCUGUUUGGAGAUGUGCCUACCCGCACUACGGUGUUAGAGCACGACAUAGAUGUGGGUGAGUCCAGACCGACUAAACAGCACCCAUACAGAGUAAAUGCCUACAAGAGAUCUCUGAUGAAGAAAGAGGUUGAUUAUUUAUUGGAACAUAAUUUAGCACAGCCCAGCUCUAGCCCAUGGAGUUCUCCGUGCUUAUUAGUUCCAAAGCCUGACGCGACUGUCCGAUUCUGUACAGAUUAUCGGAAGGUAAACAAUGUCACUGUGCCAGACUCUUUUCCUAUGCCCCGCGUAGAUGAUUGCGUGGAUACCAUAGGAUCAGCUCGCUUUGUAACAAAGUUAGACCUAUUGAAAGGUUAUUGGCAAGUUCCCCUUUCACCACGGGCUUCUGCCAUCAGUGCUUUUGUGACUCCAGAUAAUUUUCUACAGUAUUGCGUGAUGGCUUUCGGGAUGCGAAACGCACCGGCCACUUUCCAGAGGUUGGUGAAUAUUGUGUUUAGUGGUGUGCCUAACUGUACUGCAUAUUUGGAUGAUGUGGUAAUACACUCGUCAGAGUGGCCUGCUCAUGUGGAUUCGCUCAGAACCGUGUUUCAACGACUGGCUGAUGCGUCUCUGACACUGAACCUCGCGAAAUGUGAGUUUGGGAAGGCGACGGUGACCUACUUGGGUAAACAGGUGGGCGGAGGCCAAGUGCGUCCCUUGGAGGCCAAGAUCGCAGCUAUUACGUCUUUCCCAGUACCCACCACUCGGCGGGAGUUACGCCGAUUCUUAGGAAUGACAGGUUACUACAGAGGGUUCUGUAGGAACUUCUCUUCUGUUGCAGCCCCAAUGACUGACUUGAUCAGUCCAUUGGUUAAGUUUGUAUGGUCAGAUCGGUGUCAAAUCGCCUUUGAAUGCUGCAAAGCGUUAUUGUGUAAUGCCCCAGUACUGAGUGCUCCUGAUUUUGAUAAACCGUUUGCCAUUGAAGUAGAUGCGAGCUGUAUUGGUGCUGGUGCAGUUUUAACGCAAAUGGAUUCUGAGGGUUUGGUCCACCCUGUAGGUUUCUUUUCAAAGAAAUUUAAUAGUAGCCAAAUGCGCUACUCUACAAUAGAGCAGGAGACGUUGGCUUUGCUGCUUGCGCUCCAAUUUUUCGAGGUUUAUGUUGGGUCCAGUGCGGAGCCUGUGGUGAUUUACACAGACCACAAUCCACUGGUGUUUCUGCAUCGCAUGCACAACCAAAACCAGCGACUUAUGCGUUGGUCUUUGGUUAUCACGAAUUACAACCUGGUGAUCCACCACAAAAAGGGCACCGAGAAUGUAUUUGCAGCUGCUCUGUCUCGUGUGUAACUAUUGUGGGACAGUAGUUACUGGGGGCAAUUUUGAUUGAUUUUGCUUUUUAUACUAUUAAAGUUGGGUUUACGGGAUGGUUUGAGGUAUCGUCAGCCAUGGGCUGACUCUUUAUGGGGGGGAGUGUUACGUACAGUGUUCUGUAUGUCUUAUAUGUUAUACAUGGUAUAGGCCUACAUGUAUUGUGUUCUGUUUUGUGUAGUAUGUUUGUGUUGUUGUUCUGUCUCCUCCUCCUGUUUUCAUUCUCCAAGUUCUCAGAUGUGCGCACCUGGUCCCGAUCACCAAAUCACCACACCUGUUCCAGAUCUCCCAUCAACCAUUCCCCUUUAAAUAGUCCUGUGUUUGUUUGUCAGCAGGAAGAGCUUUGGUUUGAGCUGUGGCAGAGCUUUGGUUGAGCUCUGUUUGCUAGUGUUUGCUAGUGUUUGCUAGUGUUUGCUAGUGCUUGGUUUCUUUGUUGGUUUAUUGUAUUGUCUUUAGUGGUUACACGUUUGUUUAAACCUUACUACUUUAGUUGUUAGCAGCCUACUUUAGUUUUGUCUUUGUCUUUGUUAAUUCUUUUGUUGUGCACACAGGGUCAAUAAGGACAGGUAAGAUACCCUGGGGUUUACAUAUUUCAUACACGUAGGUUUACCCGUUGUUAAUACCCUAGGUUAGAGUGAGCACCACCCACUGUACUUUUUCGGUGCAAAGCACCUGUCAAUGGGGGGUUGGGUUUUGUUAUGUUCUUUUCUUUGGUGCCACUGACAGUCCUUGUUGAUCCCUGUGUUGCCUUGUUUUGUACAUAAACACUUUAUAUUGAAUACACCUUUUGUCUUGGAUUUUGUGUGACUGCACCCUCACUUGCCCAGACCUGUUGCCCUUAUGUUGCGUCCUACUCCGAGCCACCAGGGGGGGCGUAACAAUUAUUACUAUUCACAGGUUUUCACAGAUUAUCGAUUCAAUUCAUAACCUGGGGGGCCCACUGUAUAUAAAACAACUAUAUUAAUAAAGCAAUUGCUGAGUUGAAACUGUUUAUAUAUUUUUUACCUUUCAAGAUUAGCUUAUUGGAGGGGCCAGAAUCUUUAUUUAACUCCUGAUAUGGAAUCAUGAUUCCCUAUGAAGAAACCUGUAACGUAGGCCUACCGCUUGAUCCUCCAGAGACAGAGGGGCCCUGCCAGAUCAGCAGAGACCCCAGCUAGGGAGAGAGACGGGGGGCAGCCGCACCACCUGUCUACCCUGGAGAAGCGGAAUUCCUGUCCAGGGCGCAAUUUGCUUGUGCGUGCUUGUGUUUAGGGCGGGGGCGGGGACACAAAAAAAAAAAUUGCACCGGGGCCUAUCACCAUGAUGUUACGCUGCUGCUAAGAGUGUUUUCAGAGUAUUGUUUGGUUAAACUUAUAACAGUGUUUUCCUUAAAUUGAAUUUGAUCAAUUAUUCGGUGUAGCAGCGCUUUGCAUUUUGCCGACUUCAAGGCUUAACUUUGUACUGCAAAGUAAUCUCUUUAUUAAUAAGAUAUAUAUCGCUUCGAUGUAUUAUUCACUAUGGUCACCGGGGGGCACUGUGAGGUCAGGGACGCAAGAAAACAGCCAGGAAGGGUGACUGAUCCUAACGCGUCAGUCUGACAAGAGCCCAGACUUUUGUGACGACCCAUUUUCCUUCCUACUCUAAAUGAGAAUUAAAAGGCAAAGCAUUGCAUGUUGGUCGUGUCAAUCAUUCUGUUUAACAUAACGAUAAUAAAAAAAGCCAACCAUGAAUCAGAACUACAGUUGAGUGUACAAUAAAAGGCAUAUAUACAAAUGCAUUUUUCGGGAGUGUCCCAUCUUUGGUGUCUGCUGCUCCUUUUUAGAGGUCGAGAAGUAUGGACAGGCCUCCUGAACUGUGUAGCGGCGGCGGAGACACCGGACCCCAGCCGCGCUCCAGCUCCUCAGGCCCCCUGAUGUCGUCGGUAGCGUCGGAGGGAUCUCUGACGGAGAUGUGGCAGAUGCUGGACCGGGACCUCAGCCCCUCGCUGCUCACUGAAGGUGAAGCAGAGCUGGACAGGCCAGCCUUCCCAGUUCCUGCUGGGCCUGUUGGCUCAGAUUCCCAGUUGAGGCUGCAGGGCAUCAAGGUGAGGAGCACGAGCGUGGCCCCAUUUCCCGACAGGAGCAGGCCCGGGAAAACCACCUCACAUCAAGCCAAGACCAGCAAGACGGCUGGAACCACCACCACCAACAGGGCCAGUAGAAUAAGGAACUACAACGUCAAAGACUGAAGCUUGGGCUUGGUUGUGUGUUGGUGUUAAUCAGCUGGUUAACAUGGGUUGAGCGUGACCAAAUGGACAUUACAUGUUAGGCAGCUGACACAGCUUUGGACCUCUGGAAGAAUGGCUCGCUGGUCAUCUUUUAGUCCAGGAGAGGAAAAAGAAUGCCAGCAAUCAUGCCGCACGGUAAUCCUGCCUUUUAAUAUGUUUCAGGACAAAGUAAUGAAUGUUUCUUUCUGUAGCUCUGUACGUGUACCAAUUGUAUUCAUUUGAAACUGUAGAAUCAAAAUGUUUGAUUGGCAGAAUCAGAAGAGGCUACGAGUACCUUCACUACAGAAUAAAUACUUAAUUACA